Molecule: long non-coding RNA, 1298 nt
Organism: Sipha flava (yellow sugarcane aphid)
Lineage: Eukaryota; Metazoa; Arthropoda; Insecta; Hemiptera; Aphididae
Exons: 6
Source: RefSeq, a predicted model, not a curated record
UUGUCCAAAGUGCGAAUGACUGGGAAAGCGAUCAGGAAAGCGUUCGACCAGAACAUUGUACUGGUCGACCCAGAAAUGGAUAUUCUAAGCGAGAUGUGCGAGUUCAUGGACAUCAAUGAGUGUCCGCUGGUCCUCACAGUCGGUCAUUUACCAGAGUAAUGGAAAAUUAUCUUGGAAUGCGGACCGCACAGUACUUCGAUCAACGGUUCCGUAAAUUCGACGUGCAUGCGGCAGAGCAAAAUGCUACUGUUGCACGAAUUGAACGUAUUCGUUACCGACAAAAACUUCGUCAACGGCGAAGACAUGAACUCGGACAUGAACACUUCCCUAACCGUAAUCGCCAAUGAGGACGACGACUCACAGGAAGAUAAGCUGUGGAAGCUGAACGACUAUGAAAAACCUCUCGGAAACGGGUCCAACGAGUCGGUAUUGGCGUCGGACCUCCGGGAGUUUCUACGGUAUAAUCGAAUGGAACUUCUAAUCAACGAUAUGACCCGCCGAGUCGUAAUGAGACAAACGUUCCGGCCGUAGAGCCAGUUACUCGACCUCAGGAAACCGCUAACCGUACACCAGUUUCCACGGAGUUACCCGAGACUAGGUCCAACGAGCAUCUAAAGACAUCUAGCAAUAUCCUUGAACCGCACGAGGAAUACGUCAGCAGAGCUUCCGAGAUUUUAAAACAAUGUGACGUGGGACACGUUUCAAGAGAACGCCAUACUGUUUUUCGAUUUACUCGUGCAAACGAAUCGCGCGAACCAACUUCACUUGAAGAUGAUUACCGAUUGCUUUAGUGUUAAAUGCGAUUGACAAGCCCGACAAAUGUGCCUUAUACGCGACACUGUGUUGCGACGCGAUCGAAAAAGCUUAUGCGGACUGGAGAAGAACCGUACGUCAAGGGUUGUGGAGCGCGUUCAAAAUUGAGUUGAUACAAUCUUGCAGAAACGUGUUGACUGAAGGAAUAUUGCCUCGGGUGGAAACGUCUCGACAACCCCAGGACCUUGGGCGAUCGGAACAGAUGUUCGAUAUAAAAGCUCGUGACCGUACGCAAGUAACGUGCAGGCUUUUGGGUGAGCUGUUCAUACGAGGCCAAAUGUUCAAAAUCGUAUUGAAUAUUGCCGAUACAUUCAUGGAGAUACACGACGCGCAUUCGUUGGAGUGUCUCUGCGUUUUGUUGAUCAUAAUCGAACCUAAGCUCGAAAAAGUAAUAUGAACAGUGGCGGACGCAGGGAGGGGUUUUGGAGGUUCAACCCCUCCCGAAAUGAAUGGAUGAUUAAUUUCAAAUGUAGUUAUCCUACCUU